This 499-nucleotide ribosomal RNA is filed under the name uncultured bacterium. RNAcentral's name for it is "partial 16S ribosomal RNA". It matches the Rfam family "Bacterial small subunit ribosomal RNA", at positions 899 to 1397 of the family's 1533-position model. The record is from RNAcentral.
ACUCAAAUGAAUUGACGGGGGCCCGCACAAGCGGUGGAGCAUGUGGUUUAAUUCGAUGCAACGCGAAGAACCUUACCUACUCUUGACAUCCACGGAAUUCGCCAGAGAUGGCUUAGUGCCUUCGGGAACCGUGAGACAGGUGCUGCAUGGCUGUCGUCAGCUCGUGUUGUGAAAUGUUGGGUUAAGUCCCGCAACGAGCGCAACCCUUAUCCUUUGUUGCCAGCACGUAAUGGUGGGAACUCAAAGGAGACUGCCGGUGAUAAACCGGAGGAAGGUGGGGAUGACGUCAAGUCAUCAUGGCCCUUACGAGUAGGGCUACACACGUGCUACAAUGGCAUAUACAAAGAGAAGCGAACUCGCGAGAGCAAGCGGACCUCAUAAAGUAUGUCGUAGUCCGGAUUGGAGUCUGCAACUCGACUCCAUGAAGUCGGAAUCGCUAGUAAUCGUAGAUCAGAAUGCUACGGUGAAUACGUUCCCGGGCCUUGCACACACCGCCCGU